UACGGAGGGAGCUAGCGUUGUUCGGAAUUACUGGGCGUAAAGCGUGCGUAGGCGGUUUGUUAAGUCUGCUGUGAAAGCCCCGGGCUCAACCUGGGAACGGCAGUGGAUACUGGCAAGCUAGAGUGUGUCAGAGGAUGGUGGAAUUCCCGGUGUAGCGGUGAAAUGCGUAGAGAUCGGGAGGAACAUCAGUGGCGAAGGCGGCCAUCUGGGACAACACUGACGCUGAGGCACGAAAGCGUGGGGAGCAAACAGG
RNAcentral lists this ribosomal RNA (253 nucleotides) under uncultured bacterium. RNAcentral describes it as "partial 16S ribosomal RNA". It matches the Rfam family "Bacterial small subunit ribosomal RNA", at positions 524 to 776 of the family's 1533-position model. The record is from RNAcentral.